AGAGUUUGAUCCUGGCUCAGGAUGAACGCUGGCGGUCUGCUUAACACAUGCAAGUCGAACGGUGUCUUCGGACAUAGUGGCGGACGGGUGAGUAACGCGUGAGAAUCUGCCUACAGGACGGGGAUAACGACUGGAAACGGUCGCUAACACCCGAUGAGCCGAGAGGUAAAAUAUUAAUAGCCUGUAGAUGAGCUUGCGUCCGAUUAGCUAGUUGGUGAGGUAAGGGCUUACCAAGGCGACGAUCGGUAGCUGGUCUGAGAGGAUGACCAGCCACACUGGGACUGAGACACGGCCCAGACUCCUACGGGAGGCAGCAGUGGGGAAUUUUCCGCAAUGGGCGAAAGCCUGACGGAGCAAGACCGCGUGCGGGAUGAAGGUCUGUGGAUUGUAAACCGCUUUUGAUAGGGAAGAAGAACUGACGGUACCUAUCGAAUCAGCCUCGGCUAACUCCGUGCCAGCAGCCGCGGUAAUACGGAGGAGGCAAGCGUUAUCCGGAAUUAUUGGGCGUAAAGCGUCCGUAGGUGGUUUUACAAGUCUGCUUUUAAAUCGCGAGGCUUAACUUCGUAAGGGGAGUGGAAACUGUAAGACUAGAGUGCGGUAGGGGUAGAGGGAAUUCCCAGUGUAGCGGUGAAAUGCGUAGAUAUUGGGAAGAACAUCGGUGGCGAAGGCGCUCUGCUGGGCCUGCACUGACACUGAGGGACGAAAGCUAGGGGAGCGAAAGGGAUUAGAUACCC
RNAcentral lists this ribosomal RNA (734 nucleotides) under uncultured bacterium. RNAcentral describes it as "bacterial SSU rRNA". It matches the Rfam family "Bacterial small subunit ribosomal RNA", at positions 8 to 787 of the family's 1533-position model. The record is from RNAcentral.